Non-coding RNA from Callithrix jacchus (white-tufted-ear marmoset), 26460 nucleotides. The record is from RefSeq and is a predicted model, not a curated record. NCBI's taxonomy places the organism in Eukaryota, Metazoa, Chordata, Mammalia, Primates, Cebidae.
AUUUGUCAAACAUUACAUUUUUGUUCUUGAUCUGAAGUUUUUGAAAACUGUUACUAAUUAGAUAUUUCAAAAGAUUUAAAAAUUAAUAUGUUAGCAAAUUAUAGAACAAUGGAAAUGGUACAAGGAAGCCAAAGAAGAGGUACAUUUUACAAGGAUAUUAAGGAAAUAAUCCAUUUGGACAGUUUUUCUUCCUGUUAAAUAUUUUUUCACAAAUGUGAACUCUUAGAUUUAUAGACUAUUUAGGUCUAUGAAAGUUAGUAUCUUUGAAAAGAUCACAGAGUCUUAGUGACAUUUAAUAUAUUCUUAGUAGAUAUUUAUUGAGGACAUUAAUUUGCUAAACAAACUACUCAAACUAUGUAAAGGAUAUGGAAACAAAACAUGAUUUUGCUUCCCACCCCCUUUUUGGGAAAUAAUUUAGAUUAGCUGAUUAUUAGCAGGAAGUAUUUUUUUUAUUGGAAACAAAAAAUGAAUUAAAAAAAGACUAGAGCAAAUCUUUUAGAGUGCCAGUGAUAGGCAAAGCCAUAUGGUAUGUUUUGUCCUUUAGAGGAGAUGCAGAGGUGAUAUAUUGCUCAUUGCUCUGUGAGUCUUUCUUUUAAAUAAAAAUAGAGACAGAAUCUUGCUCUGUUGCCUAGGAUGGUCUCAAACUUCUGGCCUCAAGCAAUUCUCUUGCCUCAGCCUCCUAAAGUGCUGGGAUUACAGGCAUGAGCCACCACACCCAGCCUGAGUUUCUUAAAAGCCAUUUUGUGUAUAUACUAGAUAGCUUCAGAAUAAUUAUCUGAUAGUUUUUUCUAUUUGAAAACUGGGAAAAUAUGUUUUUGACUGUUUACUAGAAAAGAAGGAUUAGUUUCAUGAAAAGAAAUGCUAGGGAGUUUAUCAUGAUCUCAAAACCUUGAAAUCUGUCUUUUUAGUGAUAUACAUUUGAUUCCUUUACAUUGUUCUUAAUAGUUAUAUUGUCCCUAAAAGAUAAAAAGUUUAGCCCAGUGCGUUACUUACCUCGACUCUUAGCUUGUUGGGGAUGGUAACCAGGACCCAGUGUCUGCUCCUGUCGCCUUCGCCUCCUAAUCCCUAGCCACUAUGCAUGAGUGCAUCUCCAUCCACGUUGGCCAGCCUGGUGUCCAGAUUGGCAAUGCCUGCUGGGAUCUCUACUGCCUGGAACAUGGCAUCCAGCCCAAUGGCCAGAUGCCAAGUGACAAGACCAUUGGGGGAGGAGAUGACUCCUUCAACACCUUCUUCAGUGAGACAGGUGCUGGCAAGCACUUGCCCCAGUCAUUGAUGAAGUUCGCACUGGCACCUACUGCCAGCUCUUCCACCCUGAGCAGCUCAUCACAGUCAAGGAAGAUCCUGCCAAUAACUAUGCCCGAGGGCACUACACCAUCUGCAAGGAGAUCAUUGACCUCGUGUUGGACCAAAUUAGUAAACUGGCUGACCAGUGCACCGGUCUCCAGGGCUUCUUGGUUUUCCACAGCUUUGGUGGGGGAACUGGUUCUGGGUUCACCUCCCUGCUCAUGGAACAGCUCUCAGUUGAUUAUGGCAAGAAGUCCAAGCUGGAGUUCUCCAUCUACCCAGCGCCCCAGGUUUCCAGAGCUGUAGUUGAGCCCUACAACUCCAUCCUUCUCACCCACACCACCCUGGAGCACUCUGAUUGUGCCUUCAUGGUAGACAAUGAGGCACAGAUAUUUCUAUGACAUCUGUCGUAGAAACCUCGAUAUUCAGCGCCCAACCUACACUAACCUUAACCGCCUUAUUAGCCAGAUCGUGUCCUCCAUCACUGCUUCCCUGAGAUUUGAUGGAGCCCUGAAUGUUGACCUGACAGAAUUCCAGAACAACCUGGCGCCCUAUCCCCACAUCCACUUCUCUCUGGCCACAUAUGCCCCUGUCAUCUCUGCUGAGAAAGCCUACCAUGAACAGCUUUCUGUAGCAGAGAUCACCAAUGCUUGCUUUGAGCCAGCCAACCAGAUGGUGAGAUGUGAUCCUCGCCAUGGUAAAUACAUGGCUUGCUGCCUGUUGUACCAUGGUGAUGUGGUUCCCAAAGAUGUCAAUGCUGCCAUCGCCACCAUCAAGACCAAGCGCAGCAUCCAGUUUGUGGAUUGGUGCCCCACUGGCUUCAAGGUUGGCAUCAACUACCAGCCUCCAGGUACUGUGGUACCUGGUGGAGACCUGGCCAAGGUACAGAGAGCUGUGUGCAUGCUGAGCAACACCACAGCCAUUGCUGAGGCCUGGGCUCACCUGGACCACAAGUUUGACCUGAUGUAUGCCAAGCAUGCCUUUGUUCACUGGUACGUGGGUGAGGGGAUGGAGGAAGGAGAGUUUUCAGAGGCCCGUUAGGACAUGGCUGCCCUUGAGAAGGAUUAUGAGGAGGUUGGGGUGGAUUCUGUUGAAGGAGAGGGUGAAGAAGAAGGCGAGAAAUACUAAUUAUCCAUUCCUUUUGGCCCUGCAGCAUGUCAUGCUCCCAAAAUUUCAGCUUCAACUUAGCUGACAGGCAUUAAAGCUUUCUGGUUAGAUUGUUUUCACUCAGUUACCAUGUCUUUUCCAUGUGUACCUGUAGUUUUUCCAUCAUGUCUCAAAGUAAAGUCAUUAACAUAAAAAAAAGAUAAAAAGUUCAUAUGUUCUUCUGCACACCUGUGGUAUACGAAUACUUAUUUGGGAUUUAUAAGUGAUUUUUCCUGGGGUUUUUUUUUCCCCCAGAGUAUUUCUUUUUAUUGGAGCAGUAUAUUUAGGUAUCAACAACAGUGAAAACUGUUUAAUUUACCCAAUGAAGGGCAUCUUGUUUGCUUCCAAGUUUUGGCAGUUAUGAACAAACCUGCCAUAAAUAUCUAUACAAAGGUUUUAGUGUAGUAGAUGUAUUUUUAAAACCUUUGGAUAAAUAUUAAGGAGCAUGAUUGCUGGAUUGUAUGAUAAGAAUAUGUUUAGUUUUGUAAGAAACUACUAAACUGUUUUCCCAAUUGGCCAUAUCAUUUUGUGUUCUCACCAGUAAUGUUUCUUUUUAACCUUGGUAAUGUCUUGUUUUGAAGUCAACCUUGUCUGUUAUUUAUGUAAUUUCUCCAGCUUUUUUUUUUUUUUAUUGCAUUUUAGGUUUUGCAGUACAUGUGCAGAACAUGCAAGAUAGUUGCAUAGGUACACACAUGGCAGUGUGUUUUGCUGCCAUCUUCCCCUUCACCCACAUUUGGCAUUUCUCCCCAGGCUAUCCCUCCCCGCCACUGCUGUCCCUCCCCUAUUCCCCCCAGUAGACCCCAGUGUGUAGUGCUCCCUUCCCUGUGUCCAUGUAUUCUCCUUUCUCAUCACCCGUCUGUGAGUGAGAAUAUGCGGUAUUUCAUUUUCUGUUCUUGUGUCAGUUUGCUGAGAAUGAUGUUCUCCAGAUUCAUCCAUGUCCCUACAAACGACAUGAACUCAUCGUUUUUGAUUGCUGCAUAAUAUUCCAUGGUGUAUAUGUGCCACAUUUUCCCAAUCUAGUCUAUCAUUGAUGGGCAUUUGGGUUGGUUCCAGGUCUUUGCUAUUGUAAACAGUGCUGCAAUGAACAUUCGUGUGCAUGUGUCCUUAUAGUAGAACGAUUUAUAGUUUUUUGGAUAUAUACCCAGUAAUGGGAUUGCUGGGUCAAAUGGAAUUUCUAUUUCUAAGGCCUAGGAAUCGCCACACUGUCUUCCACAAUGGUUGAACUAAUUUACACUCCCACCAGCAGUGUAAGAGUGUUCCUAUUUCUCCACAUCCUCUCCAGCAUCUGUUGUCUCCAGAUUUUUUAAUGAUCGCCAUUCUAACUGGCACAAGAUGGUAUCUCAAUGUGGUUUUGAUUUGCAUCUCUCUAAUGACCAGGGAUGAUGAGCAUUUUUUCAUAUGUUUGUUGGCCUCAUGUAUGCCUUCUUUUGUAACGUGUCUGUUCAUAUCCUUUGCCUAUUUUUGAAUGGGCUUGUUUGUUUUUUUCCUGUAAAUCUGUUUGAGUUCUUUGUAAAUUCUGGCUAUCAGCCCUUUGUCAGAUGGGUAAACUGCAAAAAUGUUUUCCCAUUCUGUUGGUUGCCGAUUCACUCUAGUGACUGUUUCUUUUGCUGUGCAGAAGCUGUGGAGUUUGAUUAGGUCCCAUUUGUCUAUUUUGGCUUUUGUUGCCAAUGCUUUUGGUGUUUUGGUCAUGAAGUCCUUGCCUACUCCUAUGUUCUGAAUGAUUUUGCAUAGAUUUUCUUCUAGGGUUUUUAUGGUGCCAGGUCUUCUGUUUAAGUCUUUAAUUCAUCUGGAGUUAAUUUUAAUGUAAGGUGUCAGGAAGGGGUCCAGUUUCUGCUUUCUGCACAUGGCUAGCCAGUUUUCCCAACAUCAUUUGUUAAACAGGGAAUCCUUUCCCCAUUGCUUGUUUUUUUCAGGUUUAUCAAAUAUUGUAUGGUUGUAGAUAUGCUGUGUUGCCUCUGAUGCCUCCGUUUUGUUCCAUUGGUCUAUAUCUCUGUUUUGGUACCAGUACCAUGUUGUUUUGAUUACUGUAGCCUUGUAGUAUAGUUUGAAGUCCGGUAGUGUGUUGCCUUCUGCUGUGUUCUUUUUGCUUAGAAUUGACUUGGCUAUGUGGGCUCUCUUUUGAUUCCGUAUGAAGUUCAUGUUGGUUUUUUCCAGUUCUGUGAAGAAAGUCAAUGGUAGCUUGAUGAGGAUAGCGAUGAUUCUGUAAAUUACUUUGGGCAGUAUAGCCAUUUUCACGAUAUUAAUUCUUCCUAACCAUGAACAUGGAAUGUUUCUCCAACUGUUUGUGUCCUCUCUUAUUUCAUUGAGCAGUGGUUUGUAGUUUUCCUUGAAGAGGUAGCUUACAUUCCUUGUAAGUUGUAUUCCUAGGUAUUUUAUUCUUUUUGUAGCAGUUGUGAAUGGCAGUUCUUUCUUGAUUUGGCUCUCUUUAAGUCUGUUAUUGGUAUAGAGGAAUGCUUGUGAUUUUUGCACAUCGAUUUUAUAUCCUGAGACUUUGCUGAAGUUGCUUAUCAGUUUCAGGAGUUUUUGGGUUGAGGCGAUGAGGUCUUCCAGGUAUACUAUCAUGUCAUCUGCAAAUAGAGACAGUUUGGCUUCCACCUUUCCUAUUUGAAUACCCUUUAUUUCUUUUUCUUGCCUGAUUGCUCUGGCUAGAACCUCCAGUAGUAUAUUGAAUAGGAGUGGUGAAAGAGGGCAUCCUUGUCUAGUGCCAGAUUUCAAAGGGAAUGCUUCCAGUUUUUGCCCAUUCAGUAUGAUAUUGGCUGUUGGUUUGUCGUAAAUAGCUUUUAUUACUUUGAGAUAUGUUCCAUCAAUACCAAGUUUAUUGAGGGUUUUUAGCAUAAAGGGCUGUUGAAUUUUGUGAAAGGCCUUCUCUGCAUCAAUUGAGAUAAUCAUGUGGUUUUUGUUUUUGGUUCUGUUUAUGUGGUGAAUUACAUUUAUAGACUUGCAUAUGUUGAACCAGCUUUGCAUCCCCGGAUGAAUCCUACUUGAUCAUGAUGGAUAAGUUUUUUGAUGUGCUCUUGCAAUCGGCUUGCCAAUAUUUUAUUGAAGAUUUUUGCAUCUAUGUUCAUCAUGGAUAUUGGCCUGAAGUUUUCUUUUCUUGUUGGGUCUCUGCCGGGUUUUGGUAUCAGGAUGAUGUUGGUCUCAUAAAAUGAUUUGGGAAGAAUUCCCUCUUUUUGGAUUAUUUGGAAUAGUUUCAGAAGGAAUGGUAUCAGCUCCUCUUUGUGUAUCUGGUAGAAUUCGGCUGUGAACCCGUCUGGACCUGGGCUUUCUUUGUGUGGUAGGCUCUUAAUUGCUGCCUCGACUUCAGACCUUGUUAUUGGUCUAUUCAUAGUUUCAGCUUCCUCCUGGUUUAGGCUUGGGAGGACACAGGUGUCCAGGAAUUUAUCCAUUUCUUCCAGGUUUACUAGUUUAUGUGCAUAGAGUUGUUUGUAAUAUUCUCUGAUGAUGUUUUGAAUUUCUGUGGAAUCUGUGGUGAUUUCCCCUUCAUCAUUUUUUUAUUGCAUCUAUUUGGUUGUUCUCACUUUUCUUUUUUAUCAUUCUGGCUAGUGGUCUGUCUAUUUUGUUGAUCUUUUCAAAAAACCAGCUCUUGGAUUUAUUGAUUUUUUGAAGGGUUUUUCGUGUCUCUAUCUCCUUCAGUUCUGCUCUGAUCUUAGUUAUUUCUUGUCUUCUGCUAGGUUUUGAGUUUUUUUGAUCUUGCUCCUCUAGCUCUUUCAAUUUUGAUGAUAGGGUGUCAAUUUUGGAUCUCUCCACUCUUCUCAUAUGGGCACUUAUUGCUAUAUAUUUUCCUCUGGAGACUGCUUUAAAUGAGUCCCAGAGAUUCUGGUUUGUUUUGUCUUUGUUCUCAUUGGUUUCGAAGAGCUUCUUUAUUUCUGCCUUCAUUUCAUUGUUUAUCCGGUCAACAUUCAGGAACCAGUUGUUCAGUUUCCAUGAAGCUGUGAGGUUCUCAGUUAGUUUCUGAAUUCUGAGUUCUAACUUGAUUGCACUAUGGUCUGAGAGACUGUUUGUUAUUAUGUCAAUUGUUUUGCAUUUGCUGAGGAGUGCUUUACUUCCAAUUAUGUGGUCAAUUUUAGAGUAGGUGUGAUGUGGUGCUGAGAAGAAUGUAUAUUCUGUGGAUUUGGGGUGGAGAGUUCUAUAAAUGUCUAUCAGGUUUGCUUGUUCUAGGUCUGAGCUCAAGUCCUGGAUUUCCUUGUUAAUUUUCUGUCUGGUUGAUCUGUCUAAUAUGGACAGUGGAGUGUCAAAGUCUCCCACUAUUAUUGUGUGGGAGUCUAAGUCUCUUUGUAGGUCAUCAAGAACUUGCCUUAUAUAUCUGGGUGCUCCUGUAUUGGGUCCAUAUAUAUUUAGGAUUGUUAGCUCUUCUUGUUGUAUCGAUCCUUUUACUAUUAUGUAAUGUCCUUCUUUGCCUCUUUUGAUCUUUGGUGCUUUAAAGUCUGUUUUAUCAGAGACAAGAAUUGCAGCUCCUGCUUUUAUUUGCUCUCCAUUUGCUUGGUAAAUCUUCCUCCAUCCCUUUAUUUUGAGCUUUUGUGUAUCCUUGCAUGUGAGAUGAGUUUCCUGGAUACAGCACACUGAUGGGUUUUGGCUUAUUAUCCAAUAUGCCAGUCUGUGUCUUUUGAUUGGAGCAUUUAGUCCAUUUACAUUUAGGGUUAAUAUUGUUAUGUGUGAACUUGAUACUGCCAUUUUGAUGCUAGCUGGCUGUUUUGCCUGUUUGUUGAUGCAGAUUCUUCAUUUUGUUGAUGCUCUUUAGCAUUUCGUAUGUUUUUGGAAUGGCUGGUUCUGGUUGUUCCUUUCUAUGUGUAGUGCCUCUUUCAGGAGCUCUUGCAAAGCAGGCCUGGUGGUGACAAAAUCUCUGAGUGCUUGCUUGUUUGCAAAGGAUUUUAUUUUUCCUUCACUUAUGAAGCUCAGUUUGACUGGAUAUGAAAUUCUGGGUUGAAAGUUCUUUUCUUUAAGGAUGUUGAAUAUUGGCCCCCACUCUCUCCUGGUUUGUAGAGUUUCUCCCGAGAGAUCUGCUGUGAGUCUGAUGGGCUUCCCUUUGUCGGUGACCUGACCUUUUUCUCUGGCUGCCCUUAGUAUUUUCUCCUUCACUUCAACCCUGGUGAAUCUGACGAUUAUGUGCCUUGGGGUUGCUCUUCUUGCGGAAUAUCUUUGUGGUGUUCUCUGUAUUUCCUGGACUUGAGUAUUGUCCUGGCUUGCUAGGUUGGGGAAAUUUUCCUGGAUAAUAUUCUGAAGAGUAUUUUUUAGCUUGAAUUCAUUCUCUUCAUCACCUUCUGGUACACCUAUUAUACAUAGGUUCUGUCUCUUCACAUAAUCCCACAUUUCUUGGAGACUUUGUUCAUUCCUUUUUGCGCUUUUUUCUCUACUCUUAUUUCCCAUUUUAUUUCAUUGAGCUGAUCUUCGACUUCUGAUAUUCUUUCUUCUGCUUGGUCAAUUCGGCUGUUAAAACUUGUGCAUGCUUCGCGAAGUUCUCGUGUUGUGUUUUUCAGCUCCUUCAAUUCAUUCAUAUUCUUCUCUAAGUUGUCCAUUCUUGUUAUCAUUUCCUCAGAUAUUUUUUCAAGGUUCUUAGUUUCUUUGCAUUGAUUUAGAACAUGUUAUUUUAGCUCACGGAAGUUUCUCAUUACCCACCUUUCAAAGUCUGAUUCCGUCAUUUCAUCACCCUCAUUCUCCAUCUAGCUUUGUUCCCUUGCUGGUGAGGAGUUUUGGUCUUUUGUAUGAAGUGAGGUGUUCUGGUUUCGGGUGUUUUCCGCCUUUUUGCGCUGGUUUCUUCUUUUCUUUGUGCGUUUAUCCACCUGUGGUCUGAGUAGUUGCUGACUUUUCGAUUGCGUCUCUGAGUGGACACCCAGAUUGUUGACGGUGAAGUAUUUCUGUUGCUUAGUUUUCCUUCUAACAGUCUAACCCCUCUGCUGUAUGACUGCUGAGGUCCACUCCAGGCCCUGCUUGUCUGGGGUACACCUGUAGCCACUGCGGAACAGUGAGGGAUGCUACCAGUUUCUUCUUCUGCUAUCUUUGUCCCAGGAUGAUGCCCACCAAAUGUCAGUCUGAUCAGUCCUUUUUGAGGUAACUCUUUGGAUAUACAGGGGUCAGGGAGCUGCUUGAGGAGACGGUCUGUACUUUAUAGGAGCUCGAGUGCUGAGCUGUGAGCUCCGUUGUUCAUUCAGGACUGUUCAGCAGAUACUUUUAAGUCUGCUGCAGCAGAACUCAUAAAAUCCUUUUUUUUUUUUCCUCAGAUGCUGUGUCUCGGGGCGUUAGGGCUUUCUUUAUGAGUAUCCGCUGCACUUUCCUGCCCAGCUAGGGGGCAGUCUAGUCACUAUUUGCCUGCUGAGGCUCCGCCCUGUUGGCAUUGGCUCCGCCCUACUGUCAUGGGCUCCGAUCUGUUGCCUCUGUAUUGGCAGAGUCUCUCUGUUAUGGCGGGUUGCCUUGGCAACGGCAGGCUGCAUCACCAAUGGGAGUAUACCUCUGUAGGGGCGGAAUGCCUCGGCAAUGGUGGACGCCCCUCCCCCACCGAGCUGCACUGUCCCGGGCUCAUUUGUGUCUGCAGUGAAACUCUCAACCUCGAGUGUAUCAAAUCGCCGCCCUGCUUAUCCCUGUGGGGGUGGAACCCGCCGAGCCUGGUCACCUGGCUUGCCGCCUCAGAGCCCCUCUUUUUCCCUUUCCAAAGUUGAAUGGUUGACUCUCUCCCAGGUAUUUCAGUUGCCCGCUGAUAGGGGACGGGAUCCGCGUGAUUUCCCUUGCUGCGACCCACUGCACCAGCUCAAAUGUUGCCUCCCGGGAAUCUCCUGGUCUGGCUCACUGUCCAAGUCCCAUCCAAUCAGAUGGAUAUGCUAAUCUGCCCUCCCAAAUCUCAGAUUGUCAGUUUAACAGGGCAUCCAGACCAGUGCGCCUUGUGCAGAGUCCCGCUGCGCUGCUGCACCGGCCCCAACGGCAGUGCCAGCCGCGGCGGUGCUCCGUGUCUCUCCUACACCUGGGAAUCCCCCCCGCUCCACCUAGUUCUGUGGGCAAGUAAGAUUCGUCUGAAAAUGCAGCCUGAACUCACCUUCUGCGCCUUCACUGAGAGCCGCAACCCCGAGCUGCUCCUACUCAGCCAUCUUCCGGGUCUCUCCAGCUUUCUUUAGCUGAGUAUUUGCCAAUGUAUCUUUGUCUACUCUUUUACUUUUAAGCAAUGUCUUUGUUUUAAAGUGGGUUUCAUGUAGGCAGCAUAUAUUUGGGUCUUUCUUUGCGUUUUAUAACUCAGUGUGAUAAUGUGUUGUUUAAUCAGUAUGUUUAGACCAUCCACAUUUAGUGUAGUUAUUGAUGUGGUUGGAUUUAAAUCUAUCAUUUAUUUGUCUCAUAUAUUCUUUUUUUUUUUUGAGACGAAGCCUCACUCUAUCGUCCAGGCUGGAGUGCAAUGGCUCAAUCCUGGCCCACUGCAACUUCUGCCUCCCAGGUUCACGUUGUCCUGCCUCAGCCUCCCAAGUCGCUAGGAUUACAGGCACCCAAAUGUCAGUCUGAUCAGUCCUUUUUGAGGUAACUCAAACCAACACCAAACCCAGAUAUUUUUGUAUUUUUAGUAGAGAUGGGGUUUCACUAGGUUGGCCAGGCUGGUCUUGAACUCCUGACUUCAGGUGAUCUACUUGCCUUGGCCUCUUAACGUGCUGUGAUUACAGGCAUGAGCCACUGCGCACAGCUGUCUCAUCUAUUCUUCUUUUUUUCUCUCUCUCUUUUUUUUUUUUUUUGCUUUCUUUUGGAUUGAGUUUUUAUAAUGAUUCUAUUUUAUCUCUACUAUUGGCUUAUCAGUUAUAUCUUGUUUUUAUUUUUUAGCGAUCCUCUAGGAUUUACAGGUGUAUCCUGUUUUGUUGUGCUUCACAUAUACUGUGUUUUUCACAAAUUGAAGGUUUGUGGCACCCCUGUGUUGAACAAGUUUAUCAGUGCUUUUUAUCCAACAGAUGUUCUCACUUCAUGUCUCUGUGUCACCUUUUGGUAAUUCUUCCAAUAUUUCAAACUUCAUUAUUAUAUCUUUUUUUUUUUUUUUUUUAAAGAAAUAGUCUCAGUCUGUUGCACAGGCUGGAGUGCAGUGGCACAAUCAUGGUUCACUGCAGUUGCAACUACGAGACUCAAGUGAUCCUCCCACUUCAGCCUCCUGAGUAGCUGGGACUACAGUUGCAUGCCAGUGGGCCCAGCUAAUUUUUUAAUUUUUUGCAGAGAUGGGAGUCUCACUCUGCUGCGUGGGCUGGUCUUGAACUCCUGGACUCAAGCAAUCCUCCCACCUCAGCCUUCCAAAGUGCUGGGAUUACAGGCAUGAGCCACCACACCCAGCUACUCUUUAGUAUUUUAUGGUGAUCUGUGAUUAUUGAGCUUUGAUGUUAACUGUUGUAAUUGUUUUGGCACAUCAUGAAUCAUGCCAAUAUAAGACAGUGAACUUAAUAAAUGUUCUGUUUUCUGACUGCUCCACUGACUGUCCAUUUCUCUAUCUCUCCUCCUCUUCUUGGGCUUUCCUAUACCCUGAGAGACAACAAUGUUGAAACUAGACCAACUAAUAACCCCACAGUGACCCCUAAAAGUUCAAGUGAAACUAAGAGUCAAAGUUCUUCAAAACUAGAAAUGCCAUCAUUAAUAUGAGAAAGGCAUGUUAAAAACCUUAAGAUAGGCUAAAAGCUAGGCCUCUUGUGUCAAACAGCCAAAAUAUGAGGGCACAGUUUUUGGGCAAAAUUAAAAAUGCUACUCCAGAUGAGAAAGUGAAACAGCUUUAUUAAUGAUAGGGAGAGAGUGGUCUGAUUAAAAGAUCAACCCAGCCACAAGAUUCCCUUAAGCCAAAUCAUAAUUCAUAGCAAAGCCCUGACUCUCUUCAAUUCUGUGAAGACUGAGAGAGGUGAGGAAGGUGUAGAAGAAAAGUUGGAAGCUAGCAGAAGUUAGUUCAUGAGGUUUAGGAAGCUAUCUUCAUAAUAUAAAAGUGCAAGAUGAAGCAGCAAGUGCUAAUAGGGAAGCUGCAGCAAGUUACAAGGAAGAUCUAGCUAAGAUAAUAAAUAAAAGCGGGCGCGGUGGCUCAAGCCUGUAAUCCCAGCACAUUGGGAGGCUGAGGCGGGUGGAUCACGAGGUCAAGAGAUUGAGACCAUCCUGGUCAACAUGGUGAAACCCCGUCUCUACUAAAAAUACAAAAAAUUAGCUGGGCAUGGUGGCGCGUGCCUGUAAUCCCAGCUACUCAGGAGACUGAGGCAGGAGAAUUGCCUGAACCCCGGAGGUAGAGGUUGUGGUGAGCUGAGAUCACACCAUUGCACUCCAGCCUGGGUAACAAGAGUGAAACUCCAUUUCAAAAAAUAAAAAAUAAUAAUAAAAAAAUAAAAGUGGAUACAUUUCUAUAGGUCUAGAUUUGAAAAAAAAAAAGUGUGGCUACCUUAAACAACAGAUUUUCAGUGUAGACAAAAUAGCCUUCUAUUGAAGAAGAAGCCAGCUAGGACUUUGAUAGCUAGGGAGGAGAAGGCAAUGUUUGGCUUCAGAGAUUCAAGGGACAGGGCUGACUCUCUUGUUAGGGGCUAAUGGAGCUGAUGACCAAGUUGCAGCUAUUGCUAAUUUACUGUUUUGAAAAUCCUAGGGCCCUUUUGAAUUAUGCUAAAUCUACUAAUCUGCUUAUGCUCUAUAAAUAGAACAACAAAGUCUACAUGGCAGCAUGCUUACAGUGUGGUUUACUAAAUAUUUUAAGCCCACUGUUAAGACCUACUAUUCAGAAAAAGAAGAUUCCUUUCAAUACUUCCUUUCAUUGACAGUGUACCUCGUCACCCAAGAACUUUGAUGAAGAUAUGCAAGGAGAUAAAUGUUCUUUUUAUACCUGAUAACACAUUGAUUCUGCAGUCCAUGAAUUCCAAGGAGUCAUUUCAACUUUCUAGUCUUAUAAGUUAGAAUAUUCAUGUAUAGUCUAUUCAUAAGGCUAUAGCUGCCACAGCUAGUGAUUCCUCUGAUGGACCUGAGCACAGUAAAUUGAAAACAUUCUGGAGAGCAUUCACCAUUCUACAUGCCAUUAAGAACAUUGGUGAUUCAUAGAAGGAGGUCAAAAUAUCAACAUUAACAGGAUUUUAGAAGAAGUUGAUUCCUGCCCUCAUGAAUGACUUUGAGAGGCUCAGACUUCAGUGGAGGCUAUAAUUACAGAUGUGGUGGAAAUAGCAAGAGAAAUAUAAUUAGAAGUGGAGCCUGAAGAUGUGACUGAAUUGGUGCAAUCUCCUGAUAAAACUUGAAGAGAUGAGGAAUUGCUUCUUUUUUUUUUUUGAGAGGGAGUUUUACUCUUGUUCCCCAGGCUGGAAUGCAAUGGCGAGAUCUCGGCUCACCACAACAUCCGCCUCCUGGGUUCAGGCAAUUCUCCUGCCUCAGCCUCCUGAAUAGCUGGGAUUACAGGCACGCGCCACCAUGCCCAGCUAAUUUUUUGUAUUUUUAGUGGAGACGGGGUUUCACCAUGUUGACCAGGAUGGUCUCGAUCUCUUAACCUCAUGAUCCACCCACCUUGGCCUCCCAAUGUGCUGGGAUUACAGUUGUGAGCCACUGUGCCCGGCCGAGGAAUUGCUUCUUAUGGAUGAGCACAAAGAGUAGUUUCUUGAGCUGGAAUCUACUCCUGGCGAAGAUUCUGUGAACGUUGUUGAAAUGAAGACAACAGAUUUAGAAUAUUAUAUAAAGCCGUGGCAGGGUUUGAGAGGACUGACUCCAAUUUUGAAAGAAGUUCUAGUGUGGGUAAAAUGCUAUCAGGACAGCAUCCAUGCUACAGAGAAAUCUUUUGGGAACAGAAGAGUCAAUGUAGCAAACUUCAUUGUCUUAUUUUGAGAAAUUGCCACUCCAGCCAUCAGCAACCACCACUCUGAUCAGUCAGCAGCCAUCAGCAUCAAGGCAAAACCCUCCACCAACAAAAAGACUAUGACUUGCUGAAGGCUCAGAUGAUCAUUAGCAUUUUUAGCAGUACAGUUUUUGAAAAAUUGGUACAUAAUAGUUGUACAUAUUUUGGGGGUUCAUGUGAUAUUUUGAUACAUGCAUACAAUGGGUAAUGAUCAAAUCAGGGUAAUGGGGAUAUCAAUCACCUCAAACAUUUUUCUUUAUUCUGUUCUAUUUUUUUUCUUAAGAUCUUUUUGUGUACCAAUCUUCCAGCUAUUUUGUACUAUACAAUAUGUAAUUGUUAAGUAUAGUUUCCCUACUACUAUACCAUAAACACUAGAUCUGAUUUCUGGUAUUAACUGUAUUUUCGUACCUGUUAACCAACUGCUCUUCAUCCCCCUUCUCCCUACCCAUUCCAGUCCCUAGUAAGCAGUAAUUAACUCUAUCUCUAUGAGAUCUACUUUUUUAGCUCCCACAUAUUAGUGAGAACAUGUGGUAUUUAUCUUUCUUUGGCUGGCUUAUUUCAUAUAACCUAAUGACCUCCAAUUCUAUCCAUGUUGCUGCAAAUGACAGAAUUCUUUUUUAUGGCUAAAUAGUAUUCCAUUGGGUAUGUUUAUAUAUGUGCGUAUGUAUGUAUGUGCAUAUAUAUACAUAUAUACACACAUGUACAUACACAUAUAUACACAUACAUAUACUUUUCUUCAUUCAUCUAUUGAUAGACACUUAUGUUGAUUACGUUUCUUGGCUGUAGUGAACAGUGCUGCAGUAAACAUGGGAGAGCAGCUGUCUCUUCAAUAUACUGAUUUCCUCUAUUUUGGAUAUAUACCCGGCAGUGAGAUUGCUGAAUCAUAUGGAAUUUCUGUUUUUAGUUUUUUGAGGAACUUCUAUGCUGUUUUCUGUAGUGGCUGUACUAAUUUACAUUUACACCAACAGUAUGUGAAGCAUUCCCCUUUCUCUGUAACCUUACAACAUAUAUUUUUUGCCUUCUUGAUAAAAGCCAUUUUAACUGGGGUGAGAGGCUUUAUCAUUGCGGUUUUGAUUUGUGUCUUCCUGAUAAUUAGUAAUGUUGAGCAUUUUUAAACCUAUCUCUUGUCCAGUUGAUGUCUUCUUUGGAGAAAUGUCCAGAUCUUUUGUCAAGGUCAAAAUGGGAUUAUUUGGGUAUUUUUUACUACUGAGUUGUUUGAGUUCCUCGUAUAUUCUGGGUAUUAGUCCCUUUUUGGUUAGAUCGUUUGCAGAUAUUUUCUCCCAUUCUGUAGGUUGUCUCUCCAUUUUGUUGGCUCCUUCAUUUGCUGUGCAGAAACUUUUUUGCUUGAUAUAAUCUUAUUCAUCUAUUUUUACUUUUGUUGCUUGUGCUUUUAGCAUCUUACACAGAACAUCUCUGCCUAGACCAAUGGCCUAGAGUGUUUUCCCAACAUUUUCUUCUAGUAGUUUCAUAGCUUUGGGUCCUAGAUUUAAGUCUUUAGUCCAUUUUGAUUGGCUUUUUUUUUAUGGUAGAGAUAGAGUCUAGCUUCAUACUUUUGCAUAUGGUUAUCUAGUGUUCUUAGCACCAUUUAUUGAAGUUACCGUCCUUUCCUCACUGUAUGUUCUUGGUGCAUUUGUAAAAAAGGAAUUGGCUGAUAAUAUGUAGAUUUUUUUCCUAAAUUUUCUAUUCUGUUCCGUUGGUCUGUGUGUCUGCUUUUACACCAGUACCAUGCUACCUUUAUUACUAUGGCUUUGUAUUAUAUUUUGAAUUUGGGUAGUGUGAUGCCUCCAGCUAUAUUCUUUUUGCUCAGAAUUACUUUGCUUUUUCAGGGGCUUUUGUGGUUCUUUACAAAUUUUAGGAUUGUUCUUUCUAUUUCUGUGAAGAAUGUCAUAGGCAGGUUGAUAGGGAUGGAAUUAAAUCUGUAGAAGUUGCUGUGUAGUAUUGACAUUUUAACAAUGUUAAUUUUUCUAAUCCAUGAGUAUGAGAUAUCAUUCCCUUUUUUUGAUGUGACUGCUUUAAUUUCUUUCAUCUGUGUUUUUUAGUUUUCUUUGUAGAGAUCUUUCACUUUGGUUACAUUUAUACCUGGAUACUUUAAAUAUUUUUGUAACUGUUGUAAAUGAGAUUGCCUUCCUGAUUUCUUUUUCAGUUUGCUUGCUGUUGGCAUAUAUAAAUGCUGCUGAGGCUGGGUGUGGUGGCUCACGCCUGUAAUCUCAGCACUUUGGGAGGCCAAGGCGGGUGGAUCACCUGGUGUCAGGAGUUUAAGACCAGCCUGGCUAACAUGGUGAACCCCUGUCUUUAAAAAAAUAAAUUAAAAAAAAAAUGCUACUGAUUUUUGUAUAUUGAUUUUGUAUUGUGCAACUUGACUGAAUUUAUCUAGAUUUUUGGUGGAGUGUUUAGAUUUUUCUAAAUAUAAUAUCAUAUCGUUUGCAGGCAAGGAUAAUUUGACUUCUUCCUUUCCAAUGUGGAUGCCCUUUCUCUUGCCUAAUUGCUCCUGCUAGGACUUACAGUACUACGUUCAAUUACCAUGUGGUAUUAAGCCUGCAGGUAAUGUACAGAAUGCAAGAGUUGAGGCUUCAGAGCCUCUGCCUUUAUUUCAGAGGAUGUAUGGAAAAGCCUGGAUGUCUGGACAAAAGCCUACUACAGGGGCAGAGCCCUCAUGGAGACCCUCUAUGAGGGCAGUAUGGAGGGGAAAUAUGGGGCUGGAGCCCUCAUACAGACUCCCCACUGGGGCACUGCCUACAGCAUCUUUGUGAAGAGGGGCCACUGUGCUGCAGACCCCAAAAAUGGUAGAUCCAUGAUCCACUAGCAGCCUGCACCCUCAGCCUCGAAAAGCCACAGGCACUCAAUGCCAGCCCUUAAGAGCAGCCAUGUGGGCUAAACCCUGGAAAGCCAUAAGCGUGGAGCUGCCCGAAGCUUUGUGAUACCACCCCUUGCACCAGCAUGCCCUGGAUGUGAUGUAUGGAGUCAAAGGAGAUUAUUUUGGAGCGUUAAGAUUUAGUGUCUAUUUCUUCCUUUUGCUUCGAGUUGUUAUUGUGAUAAUGAGUUGUGAGAUCUGGUUGUUUAAAAGUGUAUGGCACCUCCCCUCUUUCUCUUCCUCUUGCUCCAGCAAUGCGAAGUGCUGCUUCCCCUUUGCAUUCCACCAUGAUUGUUAGUUUUCCUAAGGCCUUCCUUGAAGCUGAGCAGAUACCAGCAUUAUGCUGUACUGCUUAUAGAACCAUGAGCCAAUUAAACCUCUUUCCUCUAUAAUUUACCCAGUCUCGGGCAUUUCUUCAUAGUAAUGUGAGAACAACCAAAUACAUCUAGCUGAAGGUUUGUUCAUUUUGUUUAUCUUUUCAAAAAAUGAAAAUGGAAACAUAACUUUCCAAAACCAAUGGGAUUGAUUUUGAAACCAACUUCAUUUCAUUGAUUUUUUUGUACUUGUUUUAGUCUCAAUUUUAUUUAUUUCUGCUUUGAUCGUUAUUAUUUCUUUCUACUAAUUUAGGGUUUGAUUUGUUCUUUUCUAGUUCUCAAAUACAUCGUCAGGUUGUUUAUUUGGAACUUUUUGACUUUUUUGAUGUAGGCAUUUAUUGCUAUAAACUUCUCUCUUAGUACUGCUAUGCUGUACCCCAUUGGUUUUGGAAAGUUAUGUUUCCAUUUUCAUUUUUUGAAGACAUUUUGAAAUUUUCUUCUUAAUUUAUUAAUCUAUUGAUCAUUCAGGAGCAUGUUGUUUAAAUUCCACCUAUUCGUGUAGUUUCCAAAAAUCUUCAUGUUAUUGAUUUCUGUUUUUAUUCUGUUGUAGUCAGAGAAGAUACUUGAUAUGAUUUUGGCUUUUUUGAAUUUGUUGAGACAUGUUUUAUAGUAUAACAUAUGUUUUAUCCUGGAGAGUGUUCCAUGUGCUAAUGAGAAGAAUGUAUUCUGCAGCAGUAGGUGACAUGUUCUAUAAAUGUCAUUAGGUCCAGUUGGUCUAGGUGUAGUUUAACUUCAUUAUAUCUUUGUUGAUUUUCUGUCUGGAUGAUCUGUCCAUUACUGAGAGAUGGGUCUUGAAAGUCUCCUGCUACUAUUGUAUUAUAGUCUUUCUAUCCUCUAGAUUUAUUAAUGUUUGUUUAAUAUAUUUGAGUGCUCCAGAAUUGGGGGCAUAUAUUUAUAAUUGUUAUAUCCUGUUGCUGAAUUGAUUCCUUUAUCAUCAUAUAAAGGACCUUCAUCAUCAUAAAAAGGACCUUCCUUGUCCUUUUUUUUUUUUUUUUAACAAACUUUGACUUGGUCUAUUUUGUUUAAUAUAAAUAUGGCUACCUUUUUUUUUUUGGCUUCCAUUUGCGUAGAAUGUCUUUUUCCAUUCUUCACUUUCAGUCUAUGUGUGCCUUUAUAGUUGCUGUGAGUUUCUUAUAGGCAAUAUAUAGUUGGAUCUUGUUUCUAAAAGUUUUUAAAAGUUCACUCAGCAAUGCUUAUAUCUUUUGGUUGGAGAAUUUAGUUCAUUUACAUUCAGUGUUAUUAUUGAUAGAUAAGGACUUACGCAGUAUUUCAUUACUUGGUUUCUGGUUGUUUUGUAACUCUUCCUUUCUUCCUUCUUGCUGCCUUUGUUUGUGAUGAAGUGGUUUUUCUCUGGGAGUAUGUUUUAAUUCAUUGCUUUUUAUUUUUAGUUUAUCUGUUAUAGGUUUUUGCUUUGUGGUUACCAUGAAGCUUACAAAAGCCAUAGAUAUAAGUUAUUUUAAACAUAUGACAACUUACUUUGAUCACAAAAGGAGAGAAAUCAAAGGAAAAACCAAAAAACUCUACACUUUAACUCUAUCCUCCCACAUUUUGACAUUUUGCUGUCUUAAAUUACAUCUAUUUAUAUUCCUUAUCUCUUAACAGGUUGCUGUUAAUAUUUUCAGAUUUAUCUUUUAGUCUUCAUACUAGAGAUCUGAAUGGAUUACAUGUAACAAUAAUUACUGUAUUAGAGUAUUCUGAAUUUAUCUACUUUUACCAGUGAGUUUUAUACCUUCAAAUAUUUUUGGUUUUGCACAUCAAAUUUUGUUUUCUUUCAAAUCAAGGAACUCUCUGUAGCAUUUCUUGAAAGAUGGGUCUAGUAGUGAUGAAUUCCUUCAGCUUUUGUCUAUGAAAGACUUUGUAUCUCCUUCCUGUUAGAAGGAUAUGUAAAUUACAUAUCCUUCUAACAGGAAGAAGAUUUUAAAAGUUUUAAUGUAAAGUUUCAAAAGUUUUAAUGUAAAGUAAAAAUGUAAUUUAAGACAACUUUUAUCCUGUAGCACUUUGAAUGUGUCAUUCUACUCCCUCAUGGCCUGUUCGGUUUCUGCAGAAAAGUCUGUUGCCAAAAACAUCAGAGCUCCUUUAUAUGUUCUUUUAUUUCUUUUCUCUUGCUAUUUUAAGAAUCUUCUCUUUGUCUUUCACGUUUUCAGGUUUGAUUAUUAUUUGCCUUGGGAGACUCUUACUUGGGUUGAAUGUUGAUAUGGUUUGGCUCUGUGUCUUCACCCAAAUCUUAUCUCGAAUUGUAAUUCCCAUAAUCCCCACAUGUCAAGGGAUGGACCUGGUAGGAGGUGAUUGGAUCAUGGGGACAGUUACCUCAUGCUGUUCUUGUCAUAGUGAGUGAGUUCUCACAAGAUUUGAUGGUUUUAUAAGUACUUGACAGUUCCUCCUUCACACAUACUCUCUCUGUCUCAGCUGCCACGAAGUAAGAAGUGCCUGCCUCCUCUCCCACCAUGAUUGUAAGUUUCCUGGAGUCUCCCCAGCCAUGUGGAACUGUGAGUCAAUUAAACCACUUUCCUUCAUAAAUUUACCCAGUCUCAGGUAUUCUUUAUAGCAGAGUGAAAAUGGACUAAUACAAAUAUAUUUGGUGAUUUCUGACCUUCUGUACCUAUUUAUAUCUUUCUCUAGAUUUGGAAUGUUUUUGGUCAUUAUUUCUUUGAAUAAACAUACUACUCCUUGCUCUUAACUCCUCAUUGAAUGCCGGUGGCUCUCACAUUUGUUCUUUUGAGAUUAUUCUUUAUAUCUUGCAGGUGUUCUUCAUUCCUUUUUCUUUCUCCUCUGACUGUAUUUUCCAAUAGCCUGUAUUUGAGCUGAUUGUUUCUUCUUCUUGAUACAUUUUGCUGUUUAGAGCCUGUAAUCCAUUUUUCAGAAAAUGUGUUUGAGUUCCAGGAUUUCCAUUUUUUAAAAUUUUUAUUUAUUUUUUAUUUAAAUCUCUUUGUAUUGCAUUUCUCUGAUAAAUUUCUGAAUUGCUUCUCUGUGUUAUCUUGGAUUUUUCUGAGUAUCUGUAGAACUGUUAUUUUGUUCUUGAUCUGAGACCUCACACAUUGCUUUCUCGUUUAGAUUGGUCCCUGACUCUUAGCUUUGUCCAUUUGGGGAGGUCAUCGUUCUGUGUUCGCUGUUAUUUCUUGUGGAUGUACAUCUAUGGAUUUGCUUUAAAGGAUUUAUUAUUCAUUCCAGUCUACUGUCUUGCUUGUUUUGGUCUUUGUAAGAUAUGUUUGCUUAGAAAUUCUUUGCAGUUGCCUGUGAGUCCCCUAAUACUAUUAUAUAUCACUGCCUCCUUUUGGACACUAGAUGGCACCUUAAGCCCAAGUUUGCCUUGGCUCUCACAAACAUUGGAGCACUGCCUGUCAGAUGGUGGGGGCGGGAAAGGGGAUACCCCCAACUGUGUGGUAACACUGGCAAAGGGUUUGUACCCAGAAGACUCAUGGCUCAUGCCCCCUACAGUGUGGUCCUGAUGAACAGCUGCUCUGAUAUGGCAUCUCUUUUGGCUGAAAUAAAGAGAAGAAUUUCAGGGAUAGCGUUUCUGUUCCUGCUUCCCCACUUUCUGUAGCUGCCUACAGAGUUUUUUCUCCCUAGUAGCCCCCAUAAUAUUACACUUCUCAUAGGUUGAGGCAGGAGCAGUUUUCCUGCAAGGGAACCCUAGAUAGCUGGCUGUCCUCCAUCUGACUAUUUCCAAUGAAGAAACUGAGUCUGGGAGGAAUUUUUCAUGCACAGGGCCUGACACAUUGGGGAAGGGGCAUCAUGCAUAGAAAAAGCGAUUUCUCUUACUGUUUGUUUGGAGUUUUUCAGUUCUCUGUGGCUCACAGAUAGUAUCAGUCUCAGAUUUGAUAUCUGGGAUAUUGCUGAUGAUAAGCUUGGUGCUAGAUAUUUGUUUUGGGAUUUCUGUGGGAGAGUGAAGCCAGAUUGCUUCUACUUUGCCAUUUUGGUGGCAUCAUUGUCUCAAUAAAGGAUUUUCAAAUUAAGGUAUGUAAUUUUUUUUAGUCAUGCUAUUAUUGCACACUUGGUAGAGUACAGUAUAAUGUAAAUAUAACUUUUAUAUAUACUGGGAAACCAGAAUAUUCAUAUGACUUGCUUUUCUUGCAAUAUUUGCUUUAUUGUAGUAGUCUAGAAUUGAACCAGCAAUAUCUCUGAGACAUGCCUGUUUAAUUCAGCUGCUCCUUGAAUCAUGAUAAACCCUUUGUAGCUUGAAAAUAUCCUAAGUUGAAAAUGCAUUUAAUAUACCUAACUAACCGAACAUCAUGGCUCAGCCUACCUUAAACGGCUCAGCACAUUACCUUAAAUGUGCUCAAAACACUUAUAUUAACCUAUAGUUGAGCAAAAUCUAACACAAAGCCUAUUUCGUAGUAAAGUGUUGAAUAUCUUAUGUAAUUUAUUGAAUACUGUUCUGAAACUGAAGAACAGAAUUGUUGUAUGGUACUUGAACUCUGGUUCCUACUGAAUGCAUAUUGCUUUUGUAUGAUCCUAAAGCUGAAAAACCCUAAGUGAAACCAUCUUUUAAGUUGAAGACCAUGUGUAUAAAUUUUAACUUAUCCACACUCUACUGUCAAAUAAUCUUAUCCCACUUCAUGUAUAGUAUAAGAACUUUACAACAUUAAACUUUCAUUGUUUCUCCCUAUUUCAUUUCAUUUUUUAAAAUUAGAGACAGAGUCUCAAUCUUUAACCUAGGAUGGAAUGCAGUGGCACAAUCUCAGGUCAUUGCAGUCUCAAACUCCAGAACUUAAGCAGUUCUUUCACCUCAGCCUCAAGUAUCUGGGACUUACAGUUGUGCACCACAAUGGCUGGCUAAUUUUUUGGCCAGGCGCGGUGGCUCACGCCUGUAAUCCCAGCACUUUGGGAGGCCGAGGCGGGUGGAUCAUGAGGUCAAGAGGUCGAGACCAUUCUGGCCAACAUGGUGAAACCCCAUCUCUACUAAAAAUACAAAAAAUAGCCGGACAUGGUGGCACAUGCCUGUGGUCCCAGCUACUCCGGAGGCUGAGGCAGAAGAAUUGCUUGAACCCCGGAGGCAGAGGUUGCAGUGAGCCAAGAUUGCGCCAGAGCAAGACUCCGUCUCAAAAAAAAAAAAAUUUUUUUUUUGUGGCAACAAGAUCUUGCUAUGUAAUUCAGGCUGGUCUCGAACUCCUGGGCUCAAGCAAUCCUCCUGCCUCAGCCUCCCAGUGUUGAGAUUACAGUUAUGAGUCACCACACCCAGCCCCCAUUAUUUGUGCUAUACCUCAUUAUUUUUCUUUAGUCAGUUAUGUGUACAAGUAUAUACACACACAUAUAUGUGCACAUGUGUAUACACACAUACAAACAUACAGUUUGAGUAGAUGGUUUAGCACAUUAAAUCCUUCAUAUGUAUCUAUUAAAAUCUUUCUAAAUGCCAUUGACAAUCUGGGAGAUUUCUUUAAUAGUUUCUUAAUAGAUAUUUAUUUACCUAUUGUUAAAAUGCACACGCUGAAUGAAAAGACCCCAACCCCCCGCCCAAACAGGCUUUGUAUGAGCAACAUGGCUGUUUGUUCACCUUGUUGCAGGCGGGCUGAGGCCAAAAAGGGUGUCAGCAGAGAGCAGUGGGAUAGGAGUUGGUUUUAUAGGUUUGGGGUAGGCAGUGGAAAGUCACAGUUUAGGGUGGCUUUUGCAAGCUGGGAGGGGGUCGUUGGGUGUGGAGCCCCAAGGUUAACCAUGUCAGUUACAAAGUCCAAUGGCCUUAUCAAUUGGGGCGAGAAUAACAAACAUUAGAGAAUGUCUUAAAGUUAAGUAGGCAUUGCAGGGGUUGAUCCUUUCUUUCUCUUUUCGUGGUCUUCCAGUUUUGAUUUUCCAGGAACUCAUCUGGAGUGUCCGUGCAGGUCAGAGAGGUUAACAUGGCAUCCAUGGGGCCAUCAGUCGGCCUAAAAGACCUUACAUUCCUGUCUUUUUGUAUUAAUAAUAUAAAAAAAAAAAGAGAUGAAGAGUGGAGGGCAGUGGAAUAUCAGGAAGGCCGACACAGAGGGGUGAUGGGGCGAUGUUUCUCAGGGCUUCUUUGAGUGGGAUUGGGGGUGGCACAGAAACCUCAAAAUGGGAAAGAAUUUAGACUGCUGGGAAAUUUUGGGGCAAGAGGUGAUAUUGUGGGGUUGUUAGAAGGAACAUUUGUUGUAUUGAUGGAUUGCUUAUUGCUUGUAUACGAUUUUGUAGGAAUUGAGAGAUUAAUUGGAAAACACAGGGUCCAAAUAAGAGGAGAAAGAUAGUAUCGGAGGACUAGGGAUUGGAAGAAGCCAUGACUCCCAGUUAGAGUGUCCAGCCAGUCCAGCCAGGUUUAGUUUAUUGAUGGCAUCACGUAUGAGUCUGGACUGGUUUACAUAAGAAAAAUUGAAAGGGCUGUUUUCCGGCCAUUUGGAUUGAGGCCAGGCCGUGUUACAGAGAUGUUUAGGUUUCAGAUCAGGCGACAGUUGAAGAGGUUUUAAGUUUUUUAGGAUACAGGCUAGAUGUGAAAAUGUAAAAUAGAGGAAUAGAGGGCAGAAUAUUGCCCAUAGUGAAGGAGAUUUUUUUUUUUUUUUUUUUUUUUUUAAGAGACGGAGUUUUACCAGCUUGGUCAGGCUGGUCUCGAACUCCCGACCUCAGGUGAUCGGCCUGCCUCAGCCUCCUGAAGGGCUGGGAUUACAGGCAUGAGCCACCGUGCCUGGCUCAAGGAGGUAAGUUUUAAGGAAAGGAGCCGAGUAGACUAGGAGAAGGAGUGAGCAGCUACCAGGGUUUUCAGUUGGUGUCCCUGACUGAUUUUUGGGCUUUAACAUGGGUGAGUGAUUAAGGCAGGCAUCCCCACAAUUGACCAGACACCAAGGGGAGAGUCUUGUCUUUCCGAGUCGGUGACCGACUUCUGAGUUUUUGAGUGAGAGGGAGAGACUUGUCUCCUCCAGCUCCACAUGGAUAAAGAGUGUCUCUUUAUCUCUACUAGAAGGAGAAAGAUUUAAAGGAAAAGAGAGAGAAAGAGGGAGAGACUUGUCUCCUUGGGAUUCGAAGGAAAAGAAAGCUGGGGAGAGAUUUGUCUCCUCUUCUCUAAAGAGAGAGAGAGGGGAGAGACUUGUCUCCUGUUCUCUAAAGGAAAAGAGAGAGAAAGAGGGGGAGACUGCUUACUUGAUCUGAAGGUGGUGGGAGAGCUGUUCAGCAUACUCUGUAGAAUUUGUCUCUUUUUUUGGACAGCUAGGAUAGCGGAAGAAAUCUGGGCUUGGGAAGGGGAUACACAAUACCCCUUUGAAUAUAGAUGCUGAAGAAGCAGGUGGGUGAAUUAAAAGGCCAUGUUGCAAUAGAUGGGUGAUAAAGCCUGUUGUGGGAUGGGGUACUGGUGCUGGGCAGGGUAAGUGUGAUUAGGUUUUAAGGGGAUGACGAGAGGUGAGUGACUUACAGCAACAGAUGAGAAGGUGGUGUCCUGCAUACUAGGGUUAAGGUAGGGGGACAUAAGGAGAGCUAUCGAAGGAGAUACGGGUUUGGGGAGGAGGGCGACAAUGAGGUGUGGCUGUAGCCCAGGAAUAGUUAAGGAACAGACAAUUUUGCUAGAAUACCUUGGCCUAACAGGGGAACUGGACAAGUGGGAUGAUUAGGAAACAAUGUUGAAAGGAGUGCUCGCCUAAUUGACACUAGACUUGGGGAGUUGUAAGAGGCCUGGAGGCCUUGCGGUCAAUUCCCACAACAGCUAUGGAGGCCAAGGAGACAGGUCCUUGAAAAGAAGGCAGCAUGGAGUGGGUGGCCCUGACAUGAUUAAGAAGGAGAUGAACUUACCCUCCACUGUAAGAGUUACCCGAAGCUUGGGGUCCAUGAUGGUCCAGGGGGCUUCCAAGAUGUUCAGGCAGCGUCAGCCUUCAGCCACCAAGCUCAGGAGAUGUGGGAAGGAUUCAGUCCGAGAGCUUUUGGUUGGAGCUCCAGGAACUCUGGGAGCAGCGACGUGAGUCAGACAGUCCGACUUUCCAUGGGGCACCCCCUGCAUGGAUGGGGCAGGGCUUAGGAAGAAUCCUGGACUGGGGCAUUCCUUGGCUCCGUGGCCAGGUUUCCGACACUUGAAGCAAGGUCUGGGAGGGGUGGCUGUAAUCCCAGCACUUUGGGAGGCCGAGGUGGGUGGAUCACCUGAGGUCAGGAGUUUGAAAGCAGCCUGGCCAACAUGACAAAACCCUGUCUCUACGAAAAAUACGAAAAUUAGCCAGGCAUGAUGGUGCAUGCCUGUAAUCCCAGCUUCUCAGAAGACUGAGGCAGGAGAGUCACUUGAAUCUGGGAGGUGUAGGUUGUAAGGAACCGAGAUUGUGCCACUGCACUCCAACCUGGGCAACAGAGCAAGACUCCAUCUCAAAAAAAAAAAAAAAAAAAUAGUGCAAAGGACUUCAGUAGACAGUUUCCAAAGAAGAUUUACAAGAUAUACAAAUGGCCAAUAAGCCCACGAUAAGAUGCUCAACAUAGUCAUUAGGGAAACACAAAUUCAAAAAGCCAAAAUGAAAUACCACUUUAUGCCCACUAAGAUAGUGUUAUGAACUGAAUUAUGCUCCCCCCACACUCCCAAAAUUUAUAUGUUGAAUCCCUAACUCCUGAUGUGACUGUUUUUGGAGACAGGGCAUUUAGGGAGGUAAUAAGGUUGAAUGAGCUUAUAAGGGUAGAGUGUACUGAAGUGCAAUGGCUUGGUCUCAGCUCACUACAACCUCCUCCUCCCUGGGUUCAGGCGAUUCUCCUGCUUCAACCUCCUGAGUAGCUGGGAUUACAGGCAUGUGCCACUAUGUCCAGCUAAUUUUUGUAUUUUUUAGUAGAGAUGGGGUUUCACUGUGUUGGCCAGGCUGGUCUUCAACUCCUGACCUCUGGUGAUUCAUCUGCCUGGCCUCUCAACAUGCUGGAAUUACAGGUAUCAGCCACCACAGCUGGCCUAUUCUAGGUUAAUAUGCUACAAAAAUGCUUUGUGCCUUUUUCUCAUGUUUUAAAAAUUAUAAAAAUGUAUAAUAUGAAAUUUACCAUCUUAACAGUUCUUAAGUGUACAACUCAGUAGUGUGCAGUAUAUUUACAUUGUUGUGAAACAGAUCUCCAAAACAUUCUUAUCUUGCAAAACAAGCUUCCAUUUCAUAUUUGUCACACACAAAAAGAUGUACACUCAUGAGUGAGAUUUUGUAGAGUUAAUUUUUUGGCUUUAUCAAGGAUAUUUUUAAGUUGAAACUGGAAUGGUUUUAUUUUUUCUAAUUGCAAGUGUAUAACAAUGAAGAAUGCAGUCACAAGUAAGUAAAGUUUGGUGCCACUGCCUCAAUUCACAUCAGCAGUUUUAUACAUCAUUGCUUUUGUACCAUCAGUAGAAAUGUCAACACAGUGGAAAGGGCUAAUAACAUCUUAUUAUUAUUAUGAGCAUAGUUUUGACUUUGUAGACUUUGUAAAAGGUUCUUAGGAACCUUCCAACAAUCCACAGACCACUUUGAGAACCACUGAUUUAGAUUGAUGUUUUAGGAAGAUCACUUUGGUGACAGGUUAGAGAAGGGAAAUUGGAAAGUCAAGGAGACUCAAGUGAAAGAAGAGGAAGGUCUAAAUUUGAAUAGUGAGUGCAGAUGAGAAGGAAAAGACAGAUUUAGGAGAUAGAUUAAAAGUGGAAUUGACUUAGAGAAUUGCAGGGGUAUCUUUGAGAUAAUGAAAUUAUUGUCUAUCAGCCAGGCGUGGUGGCUCAAGCCUAUAAUCCCAGCACUUUGGGAGGCCGAGGCGGGUCACGAGGUCAAGAGAUCGAGACCAUCUUGGUCAACAAGGUGAAACCCCGUCUCUACUAAAAAUACAAAAAUUAGCUGGGCAUGGUGGCACGCACCUGUAGUCCCAGCUACUUGGGAGGCUGAGGCAGGAGAAUUGCUUGAACCCAGAAGGCGGAGGUUGCAGUGAGCCGAGAUCAUACCAUUGCACUCCAGUCUGGGUAAUAACAGCGAAACUCCGUCUCAAAAAAAAAAAAAAAAAAAAAAGAAAUUAUUGUUUAUCAUAGUGCCAGAUUUUGUCCCUCAUCUCCAUGUAUUCAGUUUACAUCACUAACCUAAAUUAUUCAAGAUAAGUUGAAAAUUUCCAUAGUACCAUAAUAAAAAAAAAAAAACCUA